GCGCAGAAGCAAACCCUAGCCUUCCCCUCUUCCUCCCCUCGGCGCCGCCAACCCUCUUCUCCUUUUCUCUUUCUCUGUGAGCACCACCGUGAGCUCCUCCACGGUGUUUCGUCGUCUCCGGCCUCCCCGCGCCAAGCCAACGCCACCGUUCGACGCGCCUUGUCCUCCUCUUCAACCUAGUGCAAGGAAUCGAGCCGGCAUCCAGUAAAUCGAGCGUAGUUCGCCGUUCCCUUCUCCGUCUCUGGCGCGGUUUCUCGCCGAUUCCGGCCGCCACGCUCUUCCCCGGCCUCCGGCGACCGCACCGUAAGCUCGCUGGUGUCGACGCCGGCGAGCUCUCCGGCGACCGCCGUCAACGGCACCGCCUCCUCCUGACCCGCGCCGGCGAGGCCCACCCGGCGCACACCCGCACGCAUCCGGGGAGGCCCUGCAACGCCGCUCUUUUCGUCGCCGCCCGCGGUGACCGCCCACUUCUGGAACGCGCUCCGCGUCGAACACCUCAUGGGCGUGCGCGCAUGGUUCGCCAGCGUGGCAUCCACGUCGACCCCCUUGGCCCCACCUGUCAGCGUCCGAGGCUAGGCCCUCCUCUGCAUUUGCUUCUUCACGGAUAGGAUCACGAGGUGUUGAUGUGAGAUACGACGAGUUCUCCGACAAGUUCUUCUGCAGCUUUCCACAGGCGAGCCCACCCCUUCACCUAUUUUACUUUUACAUGCUCUUUUGAUCUAUUGCUAUCCUUAUGUUGCGAUUCUGUUGUGUCACGUGUCCUAUCCACCUGUUACCUAUAUGUCCGAGAUACACCUCCUCGCCCUACCUAUUGUUUGUUGUUUGCCAGCUUUGCGAGUCGUAGGCGAGUUUAGGGUCUUGUUGAUACCUCGAGAUGUUCGGGAUAUCUUGUUGGGAGGUUAUCACAUGCUAUAUCUUUUGUUGGAGAUAAUCACACUUUACUUUAUUGUUAACAACUAAAAUU
Long non-coding RNA from Lolium perenne, 964 nucleotides. RefSeq lists it as uncharacterized. The record is from RefSeq and is a predicted model, not a curated record. NCBI's taxonomy places the organism in Eukaryota, Viridiplantae, Streptophyta, Magnoliopsida, Poales, Poaceae.